CUCUUGACAUCCAGAGAACUUAGUAGAGAUGCUUUGGUGCCUUCGGGAACUCUGAGACAGGUGCUGCAUGGCUGUCGUCAGCUCGUGUUGUGAAAUGUUGGGUUAAGUCCCGCAACGAGCGCAACCCUUAUCCUUUGUUGCCAGCGGUUCGGCCGGGAACUCAAAGGAGACUGCCAGUGAUAAACUGGAGGAAGGUGGGGAUGACGUCAAGUCAUCAUGGCCCUUACGAGUAGGGCUACACACGUGCUACAAUGGCAUAUACAAAGAGAAGCGACCUCGCGAGAGCAAGCGGACCUCAUAAAAUAUGUCGUAGUCCGGAUUGGAGUCUGCAACUCGACUCCAUGAAGUCGGAAUCGCUAGUAAUCGUAGAUCAGAAUGCUACGGUGAAUACGUUCCCGGGCCUUGUACACACCGCCCGUCACACCAUGGGAGUGGGUUGCAAAAGAAGUAGGUAGCUUAACCUUCGGGAGGGCGCUUACCACUUUGUGAUUCAUGACUGGGGUGAAGUCGUAACAAGGUAACCGUAGGGGAACCUGCGGUUGGAUCACCUCCUUACCUUAAAGAA
This 565-nucleotide ribosomal RNA is filed under the name Escherichia coli. RNAcentral describes it as "bacterial SSU rRNA". It matches the Rfam family "Bacterial small subunit ribosomal RNA", at positions 978 to 1533 of the family's 1533-position model. The record is from RNAcentral. Lineage: Bacteria; Pseudomonadati; Pseudomonadota; Gammaproteobacteria; Enterobacterales; Enterobacteriaceae.